AUAGUAUAAUAUUUCUCCUGCAAUGUAAAACCAAAAAAAAAAAUCAAUAUAUAAACAACUAACAUGACAACAUGCCUUACGACAGUAAAUAUGCAAAAUGAAAAAGAACAAGAGAAGAAAAAUACUUACACUCACUAUCUUUGCUUUCUCAGAUAUAAAGGUACCAUCUUUUCUCUUGUGAGUGUGUUCAAAUAACAUUUUGUGAU
Molecule: long non-coding RNA, 206 nt
Filed under: Elaeis guineensis (African oil palm)
Lineage: Eukaryota; Viridiplantae; Streptophyta; Magnoliopsida; Arecales; Arecaceae
Description: long non-coding RNA (EGUI_LNC005653)
Source: RNAcentral